GCGUGUUUCUCAGGCACGUCAUCUUAGAAUUCAUUUAAUAGCACGUUUCUUCAAGAAGGAUCAAUCGAUUAGAUACUCUUCGUACAUUUUUGGAUAAUUUUAAAGAAAUUACAUUCGAAAUGUUAAUGCAAUGUACAAAAGUUAUUGAAGAAAAAAUGGAGGCUUAAUUAUGGCGGAUGGAAUUAAAUAACAUUAAUGUUGAUAAUACUAUAAUAAUAACGAUGAUAGACGAUAGACGACAUUCGAGAAUGACAACAUGUUACGUAAUUCUACGAUAUUUUUAUUCCCUUGAUCAGAGAACACCGGAGAGGGCAGGCGUACAAAGAAUUUGUUCGUUGCUCAGGAUUGCAUGCUUACUCACGGAAUUAACGAUAAUUUUCGUUGACUCAAACGACGACAACGACCCUUCCCAUCCGGUGAAUAUCCUAAUUUGCACCGUUUUCUAGACAGUCUUUUGGACGGAUUCUCCGUGGAUGAUCCCCAGUUACCAUGCUUCGUUGGAUUUUCCUUCUUAUCCUCAAACAGCGUCCACUGGUAGAAGAAUUUCCGCGUUUUUCAUGGUAGAAUUUGUAUCUGUCUCGCUGAUCGAAGGAAAUGUCGAAUUUUGAGAGGAAGAAUCGGGUGUUUCAGAGACAUUGAUUUGUUCUGAUGGAACUGUUUCGGUGGUAGUUGUAGUACUGGUGGUGGUGGGCUUGACGAUCGGUUUCAACGUAAAGUCGGCGUAAUCGUAGAAAUAAUCGUAUUCCUGUAAUUCAAGAUCGUGUUAAUUUACUUAACACUACUUUCUUCAUGUCCUAAAAACGCGAAAAUUUACUUAAAUAUUUUUUACGACUCCCUUAUCCUUUACUCCUCCACUCUUUACUUUAAAUCAAUGUUACCACGUACUACCGUAAAUCUCUUAAGUCUAGAUGCAACAUAUUUAUCACGCCGUCAGUAAAGAUAAAAAUCAACGAUAAUAAUAGUUCUUGUUAUCGCGUCAUCUGACCGUACCGCUUAUCGAGGUACAUUAACAUCCCAGCGGGAACAUCGCGACCGAUAGUCAUCGUUUUACCGUGUAAUCGUCAAGCAUCUCCGGGUCCAACAACGCCACCACUUGCACAUCCUUCAGGUGGACUUGCACGUUUAGAUCACCGGUUUGUCGUUGAUCAUAGGUCGCCGUCGGUAAGGACAGACCAGUCACAACGUGAUAAGCGA
Molecule: long non-coding RNA, 1194 nt
Organism: Bombus pyrosoma
Lineage: Eukaryota; Metazoa; Arthropoda; Insecta; Hymenoptera; Apidae
Exons: 4
Source: RefSeq, a predicted model, not a curated record